Molecule: long non-coding RNA, 319 nt
Filed under: Panax ginseng (ginseng)
Lineage: Eukaryota; Viridiplantae; Streptophyta; Magnoliopsida; Apiales; Araliaceae
Description: long non-coding RNA (PGIN_LNC015179)
Source: RNAcentral
ACUUAUCUAAAACACCAAAAAUUUAUAUAAUAAAACAGAACCCAUUUUGAAUCUUUCAUUUGACAAAGCACAAGGACGGUUCAAAUUCAUUCUAACUUAAUUUUUUCAACUUAAUCUAAAGACUCAUAUUUCUUCCCGCCCAAAUCAAAUUCACUCAUACACCCUACUCUCUCUCAUGUCCACACACAAAAUCUUUCUCUCUCCUCUCUUCUUCACACACACACACACAAAAACAAAUAAUAAUAGUACUAAAAAUAAAUAUUAUAAUAAUAAUAAUAAUAAUAGUACUAAUAAUAAUUAUAAUAAUACUAAUAAUAAU